GAUGAAGAACGCAGCGAAAUGCGAUAAGUAAUGUGAAUUGCAGAAUUCCGUGAAUCAUCGAAUCUUUGAACGCAUAUUGCGCCCUCUGGUAUUCCGGGGGGCAUGCCUGUCCGAGCGUCAUUGCUGCCCUCAAGCACGGCUUGUGUGUUGGGCCUCCGUCCUCCUCCCGGGGGACGGGCCCGAAAGGCAGCGGCGGCACCGCGUCCGGUCCUCGAGCGUAUGGGGCUUCGUCACCCGCUCUUGUAGGCCCGGCCGGCGCUUGCCGACACAUCAAUCUUUUUUCCAGGUUGACCUCGGAUCAGGUAGGGAUACCCGCUGAACUUAAGCAUAUCAAUAAGCGGAGGA
This 345-nucleotide unclassified non-coding RNA is filed under the name soil metagenome. RNAcentral describes it as "partial contains 5.8S ribosomal RNA, internal transcribed spacer 2, and large subunit ribosomal RNA". The stretch from base 1 to 120 matches the Rfam family "5.8S ribosomal RNA", at positions 35 to 154 of the family's 154-position model. The record is from RNAcentral.